This 1355-nucleotide ribosomal RNA is filed under the name metagenome. Its description in RNAcentral is "bacterial LSU rRNA". It matches the Rfam family "Bacterial large subunit ribosomal RNA", at positions 1565 to 2925 of the family's 2925-position model. The record is from RNAcentral.
AUACGUCUCUAUCUUUGGGUAGAGAUCAGUUGACUGUCAUACUCCCAAGAAAAGCUCGAACUACUGUAAAACAUCAAAUACCUGUACCGUAAACCGACACAGGUGGGUUAGUAGAGUAUACUAAGGGGCGCGAGAUAACUCUCUCUAAGGAACUCGGCAAAAUGACCCCGUAACUUCGGGAGAAGGGGUGCCAAGUAACUUAAAUUGCUUGGACGCAGUGACCAGGCCCUGGCGACUGAUUAUCAAAAACACAGGUCUCCGCAAAGUCGUAAGACAACAUAUGGGGGCUGACGCCUGCCCAGUGCCGGAAGGUUAAAGAAGUUGGUUAUUCAUCCCCUUUGGGGAGGAAGAAGCUGACGACUGAAGCCCCGGUGAACGGCGGCCGUAACAAUAACGGUCCUAAGGUAGCGAAAUUCCUUGUCGGGUAAGUUCCGACCCGCACGAAAGGCGUAACGAUCAGGGCACUGUCUCGGAGAGAGACUCGGUGAAAUAGACAUGUCUGUGAAGAUGCGGACUACCUGCACCUGGACAGAAAGACCCUAUGAAGCUUGACUGUAGCUUGGAAUUGGGUUCGGGCUCUUCUUGCGCAGCCUAGGUGGGAGGCAUUGAAGGUUUUCUUUCGGGGAAACUGGAGCCAACAGUGAGAGACCACUCUGGAGGAGCUAGAAUUCUAAUGGCGUUCCUUGAAGCAGGACGCCUGACAGUUUCAGGUGGGCAGUUUGACUGGGGCGGUCACCUCCUAAAAGGUAACGGAGGUGUGCAAAGGUUCCCUCAGGCUGGACGGAAAUCAGCCGGAGAGUGUAAAGGCAGAAGGGAGCUUGACUGCAAGACCUACAAGUCGAGCAGGGGCGAAAGCCGGCCUUAGUGAUCCGACGGUUCCAUGUGGAAGGGCCGUCGCUCAACGGAUAAAAGUUACUCUAGGAUAACAGGCUGAUCUUCCCCAAGAGUUCACAUCGACGGGAAGGUUUGGCACCUCGAUGUCGGCUCAUCGCAACCUGGGGCGGUAGUACGUCCCAAGGGUUGGGCUGUUCGCCCAUGAAAGCGGUACGUGAGCUGGGUUCAGAACGUCGUGAGACAGUUCGGUCCAUAUCCGGUGUAGGCGUUAGAGCAUUGAGAGGAGCCUUCCAUAGUACGAGAGGACCUGGAAGGACGCACCUCUGGUAUACCAGUUAUCGUGCCAACGGUAGACGCUGGGUAGCCAUGUGUGGAGUGGAUAACCGCUGAAAGCAUCUAAGUGGGAAGCCCACCUCAAGAUGAGUGCUCUCCAUUAGGUCACAGGAAGACAACCUGUUCGAUAGGCAGAAGGUGUAAGGCCAGUAAUGGUUUCAGCUGAUCUGUACUAACAGACCGAAUGA